RNAcentral lists this unclassified non-coding RNA (335 nucleotides) under uncultured fungus. RNAcentral's name for it is "partial contains small subunit ribosomal RNA, internal transcribed spacer 1, and 5.8S ribosomal RNA". The stretch from base 1 to 73 matches the Rfam family "Eukaryotic small subunit ribosomal RNA", at positions 1759 to 1831 of the family's 1831-position model. The record is from RNAcentral. Lineage: Eukaryota; Fungi.
GCAAACUUGGUCAUUUAGAGGAAGUAAAAGUCGUAACAAGGUCUCCGUUGGUGAACCAGCGGAGGGAUCAUUACCGAGUUUACAACUCCCAAACCCACUGUGAACUUAUACCUUUACACCGUUGCUUCGGCGGGUCUUCGCCCCGGGCACCAGGCCACCUCCCCCCUCGCUCCGGCGCGGGGGUGGCGCGCCGGGACCCGGAACCAGGCGCCCGCCGGGGGACCAAAACUCUUGUAUCUUCUCACUUUUGGCAUGUCUGAGUGGAAUCAUUACACAAAUGAAUCAAAACUUUCAACAACGGAUCUCUUGGUUCUGGCAUCGAUGAAGAACGCAGC